Molecule: ribosomal RNA, 74 nt
Filed under: Heyndrickxia ginsengihumi
Lineage: Bacteria; Bacillati; Bacillota; Bacilli; Caryophanales; Bacillaceae
Description: Bacillus ginsengihumi partial 16S ribosomal RNA
Rfam family: Bacterial small subunit ribosomal RNA (bases 1-59)
Source: RNAcentral
UUGGGGUGAAGUCGUAACAAGGUAGCCGUAUCGGAAGGUGCGGCUGGAUCACCUCCUUUCUAAGGAAUUUAAUU